Long non-coding RNA from Rhododendron vialii, 999 nucleotides. RefSeq lists it as uncharacterized. Lineage: Eukaryota; Viridiplantae; Streptophyta; Magnoliopsida; Ericales; Ericaceae. The transcript has 2 exons. The record is from RefSeq and is a predicted model, not a curated record.
GAUGGAGACAAAGAAAUAUAAGAUAUUGGAUAGACAAGAUGGAUAGCCCGUGGCCCUAAAAUGGAGAGAGCUGCUACAUGUAAGACACCAUAGAAUUAAAUAGUAGUAACAUUACCGGACUGAAAUGAUAACCCAUAUUUUUCUCUGUUUUUGCAAUUUAAAUUAAACAAACUUAUAUAAUAAUGGCUGCCAAUGAAAUAUGAUGUGCCCGUCUUUAAGAGGACAGCAUCUGCUAGGUCAUAAUCACAGUUAAGUACAACUUUUAUAUUUGACCACCAAUCCACUUCCUUGAGCAUUUACCAAACAUGCCAUCUAUAUAACAGGGGAGGACUGCUUUUGAAUCCAAUACAUAACCAACGGUUCAGAUUUAUCCCCUCUUUUUGCAUAAAUCUAGACCGUUGGCUUAAUUGAGGUAGUGAUCUCUCUCACCAUCUCAUCAGAUGCUCUCUCGCUCUCCCUCUCUCUUUCAUGUCUUUCAGAGGCACCCAACCCACAUUGAUUGGGAAGCUACAAUUCAAAAAUGAUGAUGCGGGUUUUUUGGGUAUUAUUUUUCAUUAGCCUUUUACUGCUUAUAUCCAAUUAGUUUAAAUAGGCUUCCGUCCAAUUUUUUCUUUCCAAUCUUGGUUUGUGAUAUUUUUUUAAUUUUGUUUGUCCUUUCCCUUGCAUUAGGCAAUGAUUAGCAAAGGAAAGCCAACACAUGUGGGCAAUGGAGAAGAAGAUUCACGGGCACAAUCCGGUAAAGAGAUAUCAAAAGGAACACUUGCGCAAUGUGCACGACGACAACGAGAACGAAUUUUGACGCAAAGCACUGCUUGGCAAUCGGAACAACACUCGCCAGUAAAUACAAGUUUAAGACUCCUAUUAAUCAAAAUCAUGUUCAACUAUCUACAUCUUCUAACCAUGCUUUUCUUUUCUUUUUUGUAAUUCUUUCUCAAUUGAUAACUUUGUACGUAAAGAUUCAACCUCUCUGAGAUGGAAAUAUUAGAGCUGAAAUCCGCA